GCCAAGUUCAAGGACCGCCCCCGCGCCCCUGAGCCAGGCACAUUUGAAUUACAGCUUCCAGCCCUGGGUAUCGGCACGCGCUCAGAUAUCCUACUGAAACCCUAGACUCCGGACUAAUGUCUUUUAGAACUAGAAUCCCUUCCUUGAUUAAACCAAGAGCGAGCUGUGGCUCAUCUAGUGUUCUGAACAGCCGGGAAUUUACACCACAAAACAGAAUCUUGAGUUCUGGAAGGUGCCAACGUUGGAGCAUGUAUAUGUCAUCAGAGAACCUAUUACAGCUUGAGGCCAUUGUACACAAAUGCCAACGACCGUGUCCAUGAUCACAAAGGUACUUUCCGACUCGAGGCUCGGGAUGGCUCCUGGCCAAGCCGACAUCUUCCACCACUGAGAUAGCACACACGCCGGGAUUUGACAGAUGCCACAGUCCCCAAGCUGAGAAGACGCGCUUCACAAACAAUUUGUACGUUGUAGGACCCUGGCCUCAGAUUCCUCCUCCUUGUUACGUGACAGCCCUUAUGUUUCUUUUCCUUCCUGGGAGAGAGAGGGAAGAAAACAACAACAUAGUUCUGGAGAAGGUAGCUUGUUCCCUCGACACCGGAUCAUAAAAUUCCUCGGAGACAUUUCCCAGAAGCUGGAGAAAUCGUGCGGAUCUCUGGGUGAGUAAAGCAGAAUCCAUGGCUUGGCAGGCACUGGAGGUCCUGAGUUUGAGCCUGUGGCUCACGUUAGGGGAGUGGACAGGGUCUCCGUGCACCCUCCGGGGUGACGACUUUCCAUCCGCGGGCAAGACUCGAUUCGGUAGUUGGGCUCAUGAUGUGUGUUUGUCUUCUCGUUAAAGACGUUCUUUUCUUCCCUCGGUGUAGCAACAAUGAGCUCUGUUUGGGUUCAGCAGUGGGAGGGACCCCGUCAUUCAUUCAUGUGUUCAGUCACUUAGUCAGUCAGUCAGUCAGUCAGUCAUUGCUACAAGCCAGGUUCUGAGGAAACACAAGCUCACUCACGUGACCAAAGGCUGGUCCGUGUAGUACAAAGGCUCUGUCUAGAUGCCAACUGGAUAUUGAGGAUGUCUGUACCAUGAACAGGUGGCAUGGGUACCUCUCAUCUUGGCUAUUAGGAAACACAACCAGAGAAGGUGCACUGGGCUCCCUCCAAGGAAGGAGGCGGGAUUGGGGGGAAGCUUCUUGGAUUGGCCUAUGGGUCAGGGAGGGCAUUCCAUGCUCAUUUCCAUUGGAUCGGAGCUUUGGGAAGCAUGAAGUCUUGCAUUGGGUGCCAUCAUUAAGGCUUUGGGUCUCUGUGAUGCAUCGUCUACUGAAUGAUGAUGCUGACACCCACCCUGUCUGCACCCAGCUUUGCUGAGAGGACAACACGACCCAUGUAUGCAGUCUGCUUAAGACAAGUUCAGGAAUAAAUGUAUGCCACCCGUGUCUUUGCAUCCAAAGUCUGGAUUUGAUUUGCCAUUCAAGUGGAGAAAUCACACUUGACCCUUGAACCACAAGGGGUUAGGGCUGCCCAGCCUCUAUGCACUCAAAAAUCCACAUGUAACUCUUAACCCCCCAACAACUUAACUGCUAAGAGCCUACUGUGGACCGGAAGUCUGACCGAUAACAUAAAUAGUCAACUAACACACAUUUUGAAUGCUCUGUGUAUUAUACACCGUGUUCUUACAAUGAGAUCAGUACAGAAAAUAAAGUGCGAUUAAGAAAAUCAUAGGAAGAGGGGUGCCUGGGUGGCUCAGUCGGUUAAGCGUUCGACUUCGGCUCAGGUCAUGAUCUCACGGUCCGUGAGUUCGAGCCCCGCGUCGGGCUCUGUGCUGACCGCUCAGAGCCUGGAGCCUGCUUCAGAUUCUGUGUCUCCCUCUCUCUCUGACCCUCCCCCGUUCAUGCUCUGUCUCUCUCUGUCUCAAAAAUAAACAAACAUUAAGAAAAAAUUUAAAAAAAAAGAAAAAGAAAAUCAUAGGAAGAGAAAAUACAUUUACAGGACUGUGCUGUAUUCAUUGGAAAAAAUCCGCAUCUCAGUGGACCUGCACAGUUCACACCGUGUUGUUCAAGGAAUUGUAGUGGCAGCUGUAUGUUUUGUCAUCUGGGUACCAGUAUCCUAGGCAUUGGGUCUACAUCUUUUGCUUGUUUACCAAAAGCUUUAAAAGCACAAACACAAUCCCAGACUUAAGUCCCUCCUGGUUUCCAGCAUGUGCCCUGAAGGGACAGUGCGUGAAUGUGUGCGUGUAGUAAUCUCUGGCUCUGAGAUUCUUAACCAAUGAAGUGCGUUCUCCUGUUCAGGAAUAGAGCUCUACCAGUGUGUGCGUUUAGUUGCUAAUCUAUCAUUUUUGGUUACACCAGGUGUCUAAUUUCUUCCUUUGCUUCUCUUUACAAUUCUUUGCCUUCUUUCUGGGAUGUAUCGUCCGACUUCCUGACUUGACGAAUGCCAUUUAUUUUUUGCUUUCUGGACAUCUAGGCUUCUGUGUCCCUCAUUUCUCCCUCUGACUUGGUUUAUGUCUCACAGAUACGGUCUGCCAUUCCUGUCUCCUUGUUUUCCUCUUUAGCCCGUGGGUUACUCAAGCGUGUGUUUAAAUUUUCCCAGACGUGUAGAUUUAAAAAUAAUUUUACUGUCAUGGGUCCAGCAGUGCCUUAAAAACUUUGUUUGCUCUAAGUCACCCGAGACCCACUUACAUUGUCCCUCAAAGAAGACCGUGGGGUACAACUGGUCUACCACGGUGCUAAGUGUGGCCAACUGGGUUUUCAUGGAAAACAUCCUAGAGAAAAUCAGAGCAUGGUAACUACGAGGGCCUUUUUUUAGGGGGGGUAUUCAUUUUAUUCUUCUGACUUUAUUGAGGUAUACCUUAAGUACAUACUUAAUGUGUAGGGCACGGUGCUUUGAUCGACACUUACAUUGGGAGAUGUCUAUUUACUAUGACUUGGGCAGAGUGUCCUGUUUUGCUCAAUGAGUCUUUUUAUGGUCAUUGCCCUCGCAAGAGGUUGGCUGUACACGGGGAUUCAGGCUGCAGAAGUGAGUAAUACUGUGUGAGUAAUACCACUGUCGUGAGUUGGGUCCAAGUCACCUACACCUGAUGAGUUGUUGGCUUCCCUUCCCCGUGGCCCAGUGGUUUUCCAUUCUGGCUGUUUUCCACACGGUUCAUGGAAACACAGAGAAGAGCACAUUGAAAAAACAAAUCUCCCCCUCGCAUUUAGCAGGAGGAUGCCAGCAAGGUAGACGUGUUGUAAGGCACAAGACAGGGCCACCUCAUGUAGAAUGUCCCCACGCCCACCUGCCUUCUCAACGUCUGGCCCAGAUGCAGGUGAACAUUCUGUGUAACUAACCCGCGUCUAGAACCAAAUGCUCUGUUGACACAUAAAUGCCGUCGUUGCAUUUUCCAGCCAAGCAACCACUGCAUUAAUCCAAGUUCGCCCUUGGUUGCAUCGUUCAACUUGUGCACAAAUUCAGGUUGCAGCUGCUGGCAUUUGAGUGAGAACACAGCAUGCCUGGGGCAGCCUCUGUUUUGAGGCCGACACCUUCACUGGGGGUCCCACAUGCAAGCAUCUUCCUGCUUCAUCGUCUCCAAGCACUGACAUGUUCCAACGCCUAUCACUUUAUUAUAAAUUGUAUUAUGUGGACACGGCGUGGCUAUCAUUCAGUUUGACUAUGGGGGUAAGUAUCUAUGAUUUCAUUUUAGGAUAGUGCGGGCGCAUUAAAAAUGCAUUCCUGGGGCACCUGCGGGGCUCAGUCGGUUAAGCCUCCAGCUCUCGACUUUGGCUCAGGUCAUGAUCUCAUGGUUCGUGAGUUUGAGUCCUGCAUCGGGCUCUGUGCUGACAGCCCAGGGGUUGCUUGAGAUUCUCUCUUUGUCCCUCUCUCUGCUCCUGUCCUGUUCAUGCUCUAUUUCUCUCUCAAAAUAAGUACAUUCUUUCUCAUUGACAAGUAGUAUUCCAUUGUAUCUAUAAACCACAUCUUCUUUAUCCAUUCGUCAGUUGAUGGACAUUUAGGCUCUUUCCAUAGUUUGGCUAUUGUUGAAAGUAGUGCUAUAAACAUUGGGGUACAAGUGCCCCUGUGCAUCGGCACUCCUGUAUCCCUUGGGUCAAUUCCUAGCAGUGCUAUUGCUGGGUCAUAGGGUAGACCUGUUUUCAAUUUUGUGAGGAACCUCCACACUGUUUUCCAGAGUGGCUGCACCAGUUUGCAUUCCCACCAACAGUGCAAGAGGGUUCCCGUUUCUCCGCAUCCUCUCCAGCAUCUAUAGUCUCCUGGUUUGUUCAUUUAAGCCCCUCUGACUGGCGUGAGGUGAUAUCUCAGUGUGGUUUUGAUUUGUAUUUCCCUGAUGAGGACUGACAUUGAGCAUCUUUUCAUAAAAUAUGGCCAUUUGUAGCAACGUGGAUGGAACUGGAGAGUGUGAUGCUAAGUGAAAUAAGUCCUACAGAGAAAGACAGAUACCAUAUGUUUUCACUCUUAUGUGGAUCCUAAGAAACUUAUCAGAAGACCAUGGGGAAGGGGAAAAAAAGAAAAGUUAGAGAGGGAGGGAGCCAAAACAUAAGAGACUUAAAAGCUGACUAUAAACUGAGGGCUGAUGGGGGGUGGGAGGGAGGGCAGGGGAGGGUGGGUGAUAGGCAUUGAGGAGGGCACCUGUUGGGGGAGCACUGGCUGUUGUAUGGAAACCGAUUUGACAAUAAGUUUCAUAUUAAAAAAAAUAAGUACACUUUUAAAAAAUAAAUAAAUGAUAAAAAAGCAUUAGUGGGUGCCUGGCUGACUCUGUGGGCGGAGCAUGAGACUCUUGAUCUCAGGGGCGUGAGAUCAAGCCCCACGUUGAGCCUGAAUGGUAGUUAAAAAAGAAAAAUGCAUUAGCAUACAUCCCUACACGGAAAUAUUAUUUGACCAUGAAAAAGGAAAUAUUAAUGCACACACCAAGAACCAGCCUCAAAAACGUCUUAACAUACUUAAAUCCAUAGACACAGAAAGAUUAGUGGUUAUAGGGGCCGGGGGAGGGAGUAAAGCAUGGGGUCUCCUUUUGGGGGAAUGAGAAUGUUCUGGAACCAGAUGGGCGUGAUGGCUGCACAAUGUGGCGAACGUGCUAAAUGCCUCUGAAUUGUGUACUCGUAUUAACGUGCAUAGAAACAGAGGCAAAGGUGUUCCGCAGGGUCCCCCUUGGUCUCCGUCCACCUGACCAUACAAGCACUGUUUCCAGACUGGAUGCUUUGAACACAGCUCCCGACACACCCUGGACGGCUACCUAUCUUGCUUUUCAAACACAAAAUCCUGCAAUAUGUCCAAUGCUCCUUCGCAUGUAGAAUCGAGGCCCCAGGGGGGAAAAACACACCUCCUCUCUUCAAAGACCUGUCUGCCUUACACUGAGGCUGCCUAUUGAGAAGGUGCAAAUAUCUGGGCAGUCUGGUCUCAGAAAGGGCCCUGGUUAAAGCAGACCGUCCCUAUUCAACCCCUGGCUUGGCCUCUCCUCCCUGGGGCCGUAGAUCUGAAUCCAAGUGGCUGCAGGCUGCUUGGCUUGUUUGUCUCCAACCUUCCCUCCAGCAUCCUUGGCAAAGGAUGGCAAAGGCCAUUUUAAUGCUGCCUUCUAGCAAAAGUCCUGCCUCAUGGACCCUCUGUAUCUCUGAAGGAAAGGGGAUCACAUGAGCAAAGCCUUCAAAAACGGGAACAAACAGGUUUCAUCAUUUUUGCGCGUCUUCGAAAUCCUUUCCGUGGCACUUUUUAUAAACACCGACACGGAGAGAAAUACAGCAGUCACUUGCCUAAGAACCCAGGAAGCCCAGACGCUCCACGCAAAUGGGUGGCGGCCGCAGGGAGUUAUAAAAACGGUCCUGGGUGAUGAACACAACUCAGGAAGCUGUCAGAAGGCACAGGAUUUGCUUUCAGUAUGUGCCUCGGGUAUUAGGAAAAAUGGCUCGUGGUGAGGUUUUAUAUGCAAAAUAAUUCCCCGACGGCAACGACCAAAAGCACCGUCAGCCGGAACAAAUAGUGGCCCUCGUGCAAAACGGCUGGUGGCUGUGUUUCAGCAGGGACGGGACGACAUCAGGACUUUAUGAAUCCCUAGCCGGAAGCCCGCGGGACAGAGCCAGGAAGUGCAGCCACGUGGGCAGACCUUGGAUUCUUCAGACAUUUGUUUCACAGAUAGACACAUGUAUAUGCAUAUGUUCAUAUGCAUAUGUAGAUAUAUGUAUAUGUGUCUAUGUAUCCCUGAAACAAAUUUGUGAAUCUCACUCACACACACACACACACACACACACACACACACACACUCAUACAUGCAUAAUUUCUAUGGGAUGAUAUUAUUGCAUAUGCUCAGGUGUCUCAGAUAUCCUCAUCCAGGCAAGCUUGGUAGUUUGGGUUGGUUUAUCCUGUGGGGCAGCACAUCCUGGGCACUGUAGGUAUUGGUUUCCACGCGGCAGAUCCUAGUAGCAAACCCCCAGUUGUGACAGUCAAAACUGUCCCUAGGGGCACCUGGGUGGCUCAGUCGGUUGAGUGUCCAACUCUUGAUUUCAGCUCAGGUCGUGAUUUUCUCUUUCAGUUCGUGGGAUCAAGCUGUGCGUGGGGUUCUG
RNAcentral lists this long non-coding RNA (6524 nucleotides) under Lynx pardinus (Iberian lynx). Lineage: Eukaryota; Metazoa; Chordata; Mammalia; Carnivora; Felidae. The record is from RNAcentral.